UCGCCGUGGAAGUCAAUCGUGAACAUUUC
This 29-nucleotide small RNA is filed under the name Bombyx mori (domestic silkworm). Its description in RNAcentral is "ovarian small RNA-28709". Lineage: Eukaryota; Metazoa; Arthropoda; Insecta; Lepidoptera; Bombycidae. The record is from RNAcentral.